RNAcentral lists this small RNA (581 nucleotides) under Pan troglodytes (chimpanzee). Its description in RNAcentral is "retained intron". The record is from RNAcentral. Lineage: Eukaryota; Metazoa; Chordata; Mammalia; Primates; Hominidae.
GACGAGGUUUCACCAUGUUAGUCAGGAUGGUCUUGAUCUCCUGACCUCAUGAUCCUCCCACCUUGGCCUCCCAAAGUGCUGGGGUUACAGGCGUGAGCCACCGCGCCCGGCAAGGCCAAGUGCUCUUAAUUUUUUUCCUUUCCCAGGCUAAUCUGUGAGGUGAGCUUAUGUAAGAUCAACAGCAAAGUUCUAAAGAGCGGUCAGCUGGAGGACACCUGCCUAGUGGAGCUUUCACUGGCCCUGGACCUGUGUCUAAAGGUGGGCAUUAGCAGUCGGCAUCUCACUGCUAUCACUGUGGAUGUGUGGACACUCCAUGCUGAACUGCAUGAGGGCCUCUUCCAGAGCCAACUGCUGUGCCAGGGCCCAAGCCUAGCAUCUAAGCCUGUUCCCUGUUCAGAGGUGACAGAAAACUUAGUUGAGCCAACUCUGCCUGGCCUUUUCCUUCUCCAGCAGCUGCCAGACCAGGUCAAGGUUAAGAUGGAGAACACAAGCGUGGUAUUGUCCAUGAAUAGUCAAAAGAGGCACCUGACUUGGACUCUGAAGCUGCUGCAGUUCCUGUACCACCGUGAUGAGGAUCAGCU